CUGGUCUUGACAUCCACGGAAGUUUUCAGAGAUGAGAAUGUGCCUUCGGGAACCGUGAGACAGGUGCUGCAUGGCUGUCGUCAGCUCGUGUUGUGAAAUGUUGGGUUAAGUCCCGCAACGAGCGCAACCCUUAUCUUUUGUUGCCAGCGGUCCGGCCGGGAACUCAAAGGAGACUGCCAGUGAUAAACUGGAGGAAGGUGGGGAUGACGUCAAGUCAUCAUGGCCCUUACGACCAGGGCUACACACGUGCUACAAUGGCGCAUACAAAGAGAAGCGACCUCGCGAGAGCAAGCGGACCUCAUAAAGUGCGUCGUAGUCCGGAUUGGAGUCUGCAACUCGACUCCAUGAAGUCGGAAUCGCUAGUAAUCGUGGAUCAGAAUGCCACGGUGAAUACGUUCCC
RNAcentral lists this ribosomal RNA (400 nucleotides) under uncultured bacterium. RNAcentral's name for it is "bacterial SSU rRNA". It matches the Rfam family "Bacterial small subunit ribosomal RNA", at positions 975 to 1375 of the family's 1533-position model. The record is from RNAcentral.